This 304-nucleotide long non-coding RNA is filed under the name Mytilus galloprovincialis (Mediterranean mussel). Lineage: Eukaryota; Metazoa; Mollusca; Bivalvia; Mytilida; Mytilidae. The record is from RNAcentral.
UUUUUUGCCUCUCGUCUUACAAAUGAUGCCUGCUUCUUCAUGGUACUAGUGUAGGUCGACCAUUUCUUUUUUAUUUCUUCGGCUGUCCUUUUAUGGUUCAAGUUAUAAGUAUUUACCUUACUGCAAAUGUACUCCCAUGCUCUUUUUUAUCGGCGUUUGUCGCUACAGUGCUUUGUUUGCUGAAUAAAAUGCCCUUCUGGCUCUCCACUUGAUCUGAAAAAAUGUUUAACUCUGCCUCUGUAAAGUUUGGGUUUCGUUUUUUUGCUCAUUCUGGUACGUGAAUAUGAACAUCAAAUGAAACGCA